AUACGGAGGAUCCGAGCGUUAUCCGGAUUUAUUGGGUUUAAAGGGUGCGCAGGCGGCCAUUUAAGUCAGCGGUUAAAUCGUGGGGCUCAACCCCAUUCUGCCGUUGAUACUGGGUGGCUUGAUUGCGGUCGAGGUUGGCGGAAUUCGUUGUGUAGCGGUGAAAUGCAUAGAUAUGACGAAGAACACCGAUUGCGUAGGCAGCUGACCAGACCGCAAAUGACGCUCAUGCACGAAAGUGCGGGGAUCGAACAGGAUUAGAUACCCUGGUAGUCCGCACAGUAAACGAUGAAUACUUGUUUUCGGCGAUAUAAUGUCGGAGGCAAAGCGAAAGCGAUAAGUAUUCCACCUGGGGAGUACGCCGGCAACGGUGAAACUCAAAUGAAUGGGCGGGG
This 392-nucleotide ribosomal RNA is filed under the name uncultured bacterium. RNAcentral describes it as "partial 16S ribosomal RNA". It matches the Rfam family "Bacterial small subunit ribosomal RNA", at positions 523 to 918 of the family's 1533-position model. The record is from RNAcentral.